RNAcentral lists this unclassified non-coding RNA (419 nucleotides) under soil metagenome. Its description in RNAcentral is "partial contains 5.8S ribosomal RNA, internal transcribed spacer 2, and large subunit ribosomal RNA". The stretch from base 1 to 120 matches the Rfam family "5.8S ribosomal RNA", at positions 35 to 154 of the family's 154-position model. The record is from RNAcentral.
GAUGAAGAACGUAGCGAAAUGCGAUAAGUAAUGUGAAUUGCAGAAUUCAGUGAAUCAUCGAAUCUUUGAACGCAUCUUGCGCUCCUUGGUAUUCCUUGGAGCAUGCCUGUUUGAGUAUCAUGAGCAAAUCUCAAAGUCAAUUCCUUUUGUUAAUUCAAUUGGUUUUGCUUUGGACUUGGAGGUCUUGCAGAUUUUCACAGUCUGCUCCUCUUAAAUGCAUUAGCUGGAUCUCAAUAAUUAUGCUUGGUUCCACUCGGCGUGAUAAGUAUCACUCGCUGAGGACACUGUUAAAAAGGUGGCCAGGAAAAUACUGAUUGAACCGCUUCUAACGGUCUAUUAAGUUAGACAAUUACCCUUAAGUUUGAUCUCAAAUCAGGUAGGACUACCCGCUGAACUUAAGCAUAUCAAUAAGCGGAGGA